This 506-nucleotide ribosomal RNA is filed under the name uncultured bacterium. RNAcentral's name for it is "partial 16S ribosomal RNA". It matches the Rfam family "Bacterial small subunit ribosomal RNA", at positions 29 to 523 of the family's 1533-position model. The record is from RNAcentral.
AGUGAACGCUGGCGGUAGGCCUAACACAUGCAAGUCGAACGGCAGCACAGGAGAGCUUGCUCUCUGGGUGGCGAGUGGCGGACGGGUGAGGAAUACAUCGGAAUCUACUCUGUCGUGGGGGAUAACGUAGGGAAACUUACGCUAAUACCGCAUACGACCUACGGGUGAAAGCAGGGGACCUUCGGGCCUUGCGCGAUUGAAUGAGCCGAUGUCGGAUUAGCUAGUUGGCGGGGUAAAGGCCCACCAAGGCGACGAUCCGUAGCUGGUCUGAGAGGAUGAACAGCCACACUGGAACUGAGACACGGUCCAGACUCCUACGGGAGGCAGCAGUGGGGAAUAUUGGACAAUGGGCGCAAGCCUGAUCCAGCCAUACCGCGUGGGUGAAGAAGGCCUUCGGGUUGUAAAGCCCUUUUGUUGGGAAAGAAAUCCAGCAGGCUAAUACCCGGUUUGGAUGACGGUACCCAAAGAAUAAGCACCGGCUAACUUCGUGCCAGCAGCCGCAGUAA